UGUAGAAUACGAACGUUCUUAUGAGAAGUAAAAAUGUAGUGUCAACAGACAUUAUAGAUUUGUGUAGAUUAGUGUUUCUCAAUAAUAAAUCUUUAGAGAUUAAGAAUCAAAUCACGAGCGUUUUAAUAAACACACAUUUUCCACGCCAUCAUUACAGUUGGUUACCAUAUGUGUGUCAACUGUAAUGAAACUAGGUCUUGGCCAAUGAUAAACCGAACUGUUUUCGAUGUUAUGAAAAGAUAUGUGAGUCUUUUAGAGUGAGUAUUGAUGUAUCGGUCUUGAAUAAUCAGUCGUGAAUGUUAGUAUAAAAGAAAAUGAACCAAAUGUGAAGACUCUACGAACAAGGAUAAGUUAUAAUAAUGUGACUUAUAAAAUUACAUGUGUAAAAAUAAAGAAAAACUUUAUAUCCAAGUUAUAAAUUAAUAAAACUAC
Teleopsis dalmanni is the source of this 432-nucleotide long non-coding RNA. RefSeq lists it as uncharacterized. The transcript has 2 exons. The record is from RefSeq and is a predicted model, not a curated record. Lineage: Eukaryota; Metazoa; Arthropoda; Insecta; Diptera; Diopsidae.